GAACAAAUAUCCAAGAUAGGAUGCAGAGUUCAAGUUCAAGUUAGAAGAGCCUCAUGUGAAUGAUAAGUUGCAUGUGGAAGUUUGUAGUGCUUCAUCCAAGAUUGGGCUAUUGCAUCCUAAGUUUGGUGUGAACCUGGUUGCUAGAGCUGAAAAGUCACAAUGGGACCCCAAGGUGGGAUUUGACUUAAAAAAGUCAAACUUGGUACUUCAAAGGGUUUUAACAGAUAGAUUUUUAAGAAUAAUUGACUUUGAACUAAUUGUCAUCAAUAAUGAGAGUGGAGGGUGUACCAAU
Helianthus annuus (common sunflower) is the source of this 292-nucleotide long non-coding RNA. RefSeq lists it as uncharacterized. NCBI's taxonomy places the organism in Eukaryota, Viridiplantae, Streptophyta, Magnoliopsida, Asterales, Asteraceae. The record is from RefSeq and is a predicted model, not a curated record. The transcript has 3 exons.